This 253-nucleotide ribosomal RNA is filed under the name uncultured bacterium. RNAcentral's name for it is "partial 16S ribosomal RNA". It matches the Rfam family "Bacterial small subunit ribosomal RNA", at positions 524 to 776 of the family's 1533-position model. The record is from RNAcentral.
UACGUAGGGACCAAGCGUUGUUCGGAUUUACUGGGCGUAAAGGGCGCGUAGGCGGCCUAACAAGUCACUUGUGAAAUCUCCGGGCUUAACUCGGAACUGCCAAGUGAAACUGUCAGGCUAGAGUGCAGAAGGGGCAAUCGGAAUUCUUGGUGUAGCGGUGAAAUGCGUAGAUAUCAAGAGGAACACCUGAGGUGAAGACGGGUUGCUGGGCUGACACUGACGCUGAGGCACGAAAGCGUGGGGAGCAAACAGG